Oncorhynchus tshawytscha (Chinook salmon) is the source of this 521-nucleotide long non-coding RNA. The record is from Ensembl. Lineage: Eukaryota; Metazoa; Chordata; Actinopteri; Salmoniformes; Salmonidae.
UAGCCUACUGAUGUACCCCUGAUGGCUGACUAGGCUACUGAUGUACCCCUGUUAGCUGACUAGGCUACUGAUGUACCCCUGUUAGCUGACUAGGCUACUGAUGUACCCCUGUUAGCUGACUAGACUACUGAUGUACCCCUGUUAGCUGACUAGGCUACUGAUGUACCCCUGUUAGCUGACUAGCCUACUGAUGUACCCCUGUUGGCUGACUAGCCUACUGAUGUACCCCUGUUAGCUGACUAGGCUUCUGAUGUACCCCUGUUAGCUGACUAGGCUACUGUACUGUUUGCCAACACUGAAUAUCUAUGUACUGUCGCUUUCUUAUGUCAACACCCAUUUUCACAUGCAUUUUUGUCCUUCUCAGAAUGUUCUGUAUCUGACCCUGUACAGCAGUUUAUAUUUUUCAUACACGUCAAAAAUGUGACUUCACUUUGCACGUACGUACUUGGUAAGUACUGGUAAAGGACAAAACCUAUGAAGGUACUUCUUUACAUUUUUUAAAAUAAAUAUCUGUGAACAAA